CGGUUGAUCCUGCCGGAGGCCAUUGCUAUCGGAGUCCGAUUUAGCCAUGCUAGUCGUGCGAGUUCAGACUCGCGGCACCGAGCUCAGUAACACGUGGCCAAACUACCCUACAGAGACGGAUACCCUCGGGAAACUGAGGUUAACCCGUCAUACCGAUCUCAGGCUUGAAUCGCAGAGAUCACAAAACGCCCCGGCGCUGUAGGAUGUGGCUGCGGUUGAUUAGGUAGACGGUGGGGUAACGGCCCACCGUGCCCAUAAUCAGUACAGGUUGUGAGAGCAAGAACCUGGAGACGGAAUCUGAGACAAGAUUCCGGGCCCUACGGGGCGCAGCAGGCGCGAAACCUUUACACUGCACGCACGUGCGAUAAGGGGACUCCGAGUGCGAGGGCAUAUCGUCCUCGCUUUCGUGUACCGUAGGGUGGUACACCAAUAAGGGCUGGGCAAGACCGGUGCCAGCCGCCGCGGUAAUACCGGCAGCCCGAGUGAUGGCCGAUCUUAUUGGGCCUAAAGCGUCCGUAGCUGGCCGCGCAAGUCCAUCGGGAAAUCCACCCGCCCAACGGGUGGCCGUCCGGUGGAAACUGUACGGCUUGGGACCGGAAGGCGCGACGGGUACGUCCGGGGUAGGAGUGAAAUCCCGUAAUCCUGGACGGACCGCCGAUGGCGAAAGCACGUCGCGAGAACGGAUCCGACAGUGAGGGACGAAAGCCAGGGUCUCGGACCGGAUUAGAUACCCCGGUAGUC
Molecule: ribosomal RNA, 741 nt
Filed under: uncultured Haloquadratum sp.
Lineage: Archaea; Methanobacteriati; Methanobacteriota; Halobacteria; Halobacteriales; Haloferacaceae
Description: bacterial SSU rRNA
Rfam family: Archaeal small subunit ribosomal RNA
Source: RNAcentral